AGUCCUACUACAUUUUUGCUUGGAUACAUCUUUUCCGGGCCAUUAAGACACAGUUGUCAAAAGAAUAGAUGAAAAAAGCUUUUAAUGUUUUACUUGUUGAGUGACAGUUCGAAGGACUUCCUCUGUCUCAGUAUCCAGGGUUUACGCUGUAAACCUGUAUUUUAUCUGCACACACUCAACCCCCAAAGCAGUCUGCUAAGGGUGAAACUCAUUUUAGAGAAAACAUAACAGAGUUUUCUGGAUUCUGAUCAUACAUCUUACAUUACUGCAUUAUCUGAUAUGAUCCCCUUCAUUAAUGCAUAUGUUAGUUCUUCUGCACCACCCAGCAGGAGCUGCUCAUUGCCUAUGUUGACUGCCAUGCAACCUUUAGGAAUGUGGUCUAACUACACCACACAUGGAGCAAACCAUAUUGUGCUAUUACUCCCCGUUAUGCUGCACUGAUGUCCAAGCCACUCAACAUACACAAAUCAUGGAGAAACAUGACUGGUGAGGGAUGAAGGACAGUAGAGUUUCUAUGGGUCCAGUAAGAGCAAAAGGAAAACUGAGGAAAAUACAGGCCCACUGCUCAGUGAGGUGAAGGAUGCUGUGGUAGGGGAUAUAGGAAGGACUCAAUGAGGAUUAAUCUUAACAGGCAAGGUCUACUCACAGACCUCCUGGGGGACACGAAAUGAAGUACUACUCAUAGUGGAGGAAGACUGACUCACACUGAGCAAACUGGACAUACACAAGUCCAAGCAAUGAGACAGGAGACAUCUGAGGCUUUAGGUACAAAAGGCAAACAAACCAGACUAAGUCAGGUGGAGAGCUACCAAUGUAGGCAGUGGAUACUGCGUAUUACAUAGGAGAGACUGAGAGUUGUUUUUUUCAACCUGAAGCAGACAGACAAGGCUUAGAGGACGGGAGCAGGAAGGAGAUCUACUGCUUUCUAGAACUGCCUACUGGGAGGUGUAGAAAUGACAGAGCCAAACUGAAAAAAUGGACUCCAGAGUUUUUCCAUCCUACAAGCAUCAGUGAACUGCGAGGAGCAACAGGAUAUAGGAGAAGAAAGUCUAUCAGAGUACACUCGACAUCAUUUGAAUUAGUAUCUGUUACAAUAUGCAAAAAGCAACAAGACUGACCAUAGACAAUCAAUUCUAAUAUGUUCUGCUGAUCAUGCAAAGCAAGAAGUGGUGGGGGGUUAAUUAAGAAUACUUGCUUUGAAUAAUAUGAAGAACUGACCUGACUGUGGGAUUAAUCAGACUACAGAACAAAUGGCCUCCCAAAGGAAGAGGUAGAAUUUACACAGCUUGCAACAUUAUGACAAGACUGAAUGAAACUAAGGAGAAUCCACAGCAAAAUAACCACAUCAUGACUUCAUAAAGUGGUACAGUAGACAUUUAGUAGGUAUACUCCAACUUUAAGUUGUUAAAAAAUUAAAACAGCAUGCUGAAAGAACUGCUUGGUCCUAUAGCCAGAGGUUGGGCAAGAGUAUACAGAAUUUCUGUAACACAAGAACAAACACCAACAGUAACAAAAUAUUGAAGGUGAAGAUUCAUCCGUGGACAAGAGCAUGAUGUCUUGUUCAACCUCUAAUGUACUGGAAGGAAUCACAAAAGCAACACCUAACACCUUCCAACUAGCUGCCAUGUGGAGGUGGGAAACUCCCGGGAAAAAGCCUAAUUAGCCUAUAACUUUUUAUCACAUGCAAACGCAUUCCCUGCCUUGAAAAAUGGUGACAUGUUCUGUAUACUUCUGUGC
Molecule: long non-coding RNA, 1737 nt
Organism: Pezoporus occidentalis (night parrot)
Lineage: Eukaryota; Metazoa; Chordata; Aves; Psittaciformes; Psittacidae
Exons: 3
Source: RefSeq, a predicted model, not a curated record